Molecule: long non-coding RNA, 2588 nt
Filed under: Vitis vinifera (wine grape)
Lineage: Eukaryota; Viridiplantae; Streptophyta; Magnoliopsida; Vitales; Vitaceae
Description: long non-coding RNA (VVIN_LNC004211)
Source: RNAcentral
CGCACGAGACCCGGCCAUCGGAAGAGUGGGGCCUCGAAGAUUAUGAGGACACAGCUCACACUGUAGUCGCAUCUCGCUACACAUCCAUGUUCCCAAGGCCCUCUUGUUGAACGGGCACCAUCAUAAAUUACAUAAUGACAAGCAUCGGCACCAAUAAUUGGCAAUGGUAUGCAUCAAGGGAAAAUCACAUCACAUCAAAUCAGUAACAGUCAUGGUUCAAAAUAUCAGUCGGGUUCGGUACAACUCGGCUGAAGCGAAUAAUCUUUCAACACAAACCCAAUUAAGAACCGUUAAACUUAGUCGCCUCCGUUGAGAUUCUUAGUAGACUCAAUUGAAAUUACGAGUUCAAUUGUUUAAAAUCUAAAUUUUCUCAAAUUAAACCAAUUUUUUUUUCUCUCUUUUAUAUCACAACAAAAGGCAACCAAAAUUGAGAAAUCUUUAAUAAAUAUGAGAGAUUUUCUUAAAAAUAAAUUUUUUUCAAGACCCAUAAUCGUGAAGGAUAAAAAAGAAGAAAGAAAGUUUCAUAUUGGUGAUGUAGUUGUGGUGGCCAACCGGUAAGAAACAUCACAUUCUUUCAUCGAUGAUGAUCUUUGCAUAUUGGUGUUGCCUCUCCUUGCUCGAUCUCUAUUGUUUGGUUGUGUAGGUAUCCCUUGGGAUUCAGAAUUAAAGAAAAUGACUUAAUGUAUUGUUUUAUAUAAAAAUGAUUUAUUAUUUCAAAUGUUCAUGUAUUUACAUCAUUUUACCUUAUAUGACAAUGGUGUUUGAAAUUGGAAAUUUGAAAAUUAGUAUUUUACCUUAUAUGCUAACCGUAUUUGGAAUUGAAAAUUUAAAAAUUAGUAUUUUAUAGAUUAAAUAUGGUAUGAAUGCCUUUAAUUUAGGUAAUAUAUUAUUUUAUAUGGUAAUGGUAUUAUAUAAGGCAGAUUAUUUUAUAUAUUAAUUUAUUGUUAAUAAUUUAAGAAAUUAUUUGAUUUAUUAUUAUGUCAAUAAUUUAUUAUUAAAUUUAUUAGUUUUUUAAUUCAUUUAAUUAUAUUAAAAUUUUUUUGAACUUUUAAGUAUCUUAUUUUGCGUAUCACCUGAUACCAAACCGAGAUACCAAUAUUGUGCCUUAGAACCCUAGAGUCAAUGAUCGAUACCGCGAUUUGGAACCAUGAUUGAAACAUUUAUGCACCUGUAUGAUAUUCAACAUUUUCAAAUAAAAGAUGAUAUUAUACAAAAUGAAGAAUUUAAUAAUGUAAAAAUAUAAUAACCUAUAGAAAAUAAGUAAUAACAAAACAUUUGUUUUAUCCAUGCAAACCAUACUAGCAAAUAACAUUUUCUAUGCUAUUUGAAUAUUAUCUAAAAUAAAAAUGACUAACAUAUAAUAGUAGUAAACCACAUAAUAAUGUAACUUGAUAGUGAGUUGAUGGUUGGGAAGCUAAGCCAAAAUGAGGUGGUGGUUAGUUAAAAGUAUUGGUUUGUUGUGGCAUGAAACUCUAUAUCAUUGCCUUCAACUCCACCAAUUGAGUGGUAGUUGUAGUCUUAAAACUCUAUGAUCUAUCGUAGCAACUUCUUUGUCUCUUCUUAGGAAAUUCAGUUGCACUCGAACACUUAAGUUGUGAUUCAUUUCCCAAACCUUGAAUGUAACUUGAUCACUUCUCGAGCACUCAAUGAUUUGUCUAUAAGUCAGAUAAGAGUAUCAACCUUCAAGGUACUUUGCUCUUGAAUGUCAUGCAUCUCUUCCUGGAAAAUAUAGUAAAAUUUCAAUUAGUAAAAAUAUUAAAAUAAUGUGAUGCAUCAAGAAUCUAGCAUCUAUCUAGUUAAAUUGGCACCUUCUUAAGAUAAACAAGUCAAUCAACAUGUAAAUAUUAGCAUAUCAACCAAAAAAAAGCAACAUAUUACCAAGAAAAAAAAGCCUUCAACACAAAUUUUUUUAGUUAAACCCGAGAAAAACAAAACCUAGAGCGUGGCAACUCACUUGACAGCCGCUCACACGGAUUCUGCAGAGCCUCCCGAAGAAACUGAUCCACUUGGUUGACAGAGUCCUCAGAAAUCAUCCCGGAACCGACGAAGACGACAAAGCCGGAGCAGAAGCAGAAGCUGAAGCUGGUAUCGAGGCAUCGAGAGAGGAAGAGGAAUCUUUCUUGGAGGAUGAAGAGGAGAGCAUCAAUCUGUUCAUGCUCUCGUCCAAAUCAGCGACCUCCCAGGACUCAGGGCCUCCGAGAUCGUGAAUGUAAAACAUAAAAUGUUAUUUGGUAAUCUGAUCAUGAUUUGCAGGCAAAGGUUGUGUUUUUCAGCCUGGCUCAAAAAUCGUGGAUUUAGGGUUCGUGAAAUUUAAAUCCAAUGGCACAAAGCAAAGCGACCCCUAGAAUAGAUCCAGAAAACACAGGAAGCAAAAAAAAAAAGCAAUCUUUCUAGUUUUCCUUGGGGGUUUUGCAUGGAUUUUCUCGGAAAUCAAACGAGGAUGAAUUUUCCCGGAAAUCGAAUGGGGAUGGAUUUUCUUGGGAAUCAAACGGGAGUUGCAAAAAAAGAAAAUAAUAACAUGAUUAGAUUAGUACCUGCGAGGAUUGAGAGUGGCAAAGGAAAAUAGGGCCUUUUUAGGGAUUCUCUCG